This is a non-coding RNA of Gossypium raimondii (Peruvian cotton), 145 nucleotides long. The record is from Rfam. NCBI's taxonomy places the organism in Eukaryota, Viridiplantae, Streptophyta, Magnoliopsida, Malvales, Malvaceae.
UAUUAAAAUUUUCAUCUAUUUCUACUGUUAAAAAAUGACAUAGCUGAUAAAAUAAUCGAACAGUUACAUGUGGUGUGGUACAUGUAUCUCAUGCUGAUAUACAAGUGCCAGAUUUUAAUAGUAGAAAUAAAUGAAAUUUUUAACA